Molecule: ribosomal RNA, 443 nt
Filed under: uncultured Eubacteriales bacterium
Lineage: Bacteria; Bacillati; Bacillota; Clostridia; Eubacteriales
Description: bacterial SSU rRNA
Rfam family: Bacterial small subunit ribosomal RNA
Source: RNAcentral
CCUACGGGAGGCUGCAGUGGGGAAUAUUGCGCAAUGGAGGGAACUCUGACGCAGCGACGUCGCGUGAGCGAAGAAGGUCUUCGGAUCGUAAAGCUCUGUCUUUGGGGAAGAAGGAAGUGACGGUACCCAAGGAGGAAGCCCCGGCUAACUACGUGCCAGCAGCCGCGGUAACACGUAGGGGGCAAGCGUUGUCCGGAAUCACUGGGCGUAAAGGGUGCGUAGGCGGUAUGCCAAGUCAGGUGUGAAACCCCAUGGCUCAACUGUGGGCUUGCACAUGAAACUGGUAUGCUUGAGUGCAGGAGAGGAAAGCGGAAUUCCUAGUGUAGCGGUGAAAUGCGUAGAUAUUAGGAGGAACACCAGUAGCGAAGGCGGCUUUCUGGACUGUAACUGACGCUGAGGCACGAAAGCGUGGGGAGCAAACAGGAUUAGAUACCCCAGUAGUC